Molecule: long non-coding RNA, 462 nt
Organism: Passer domesticus (house sparrow)
Lineage: Eukaryota; Metazoa; Chordata; Aves; Passeriformes; Passeridae
Exons: 3
Source: RefSeq, a predicted model, not a curated record
GUCAGAACCCAGGGGCUUUGCCUGAGGGAGGCAGGAGCCCAGGACAGGGUGUGCAGCACCUCAGGACUUUUGGGAGGUAAAUGAAAAGUAUUACUUCUCUUUUGGAUGAGGAAUUGCCAUGGUAGUACCAUCAGGAGCAGAUUUUUAGGAUCUCUUGAUUGAGGGUCUCCCACCCUUGGGAAAGAAGACUACACUACCUGUUUACAGAAGAAUCCUCUGUGUUUCAAUUGUCCUGCCUGAUGUCAGUGCUCUUAAGGUGAGGAGGGUGUGGUGCUACAAACUCACAGCCAAGAAUCAAAAUGGAUGGAUGGACAGGCAAAGAUGUAGUAAUAAGUGUAGGAUGAUCAACAAGGCCAAGGGUAAGAAGCUGUACUUGGGCUGGGGCAAGCCCAAACACAAAAACAGAUUGAGCAUACAGAAUGGAUUGAAAGCAGCCCUGGAGAGAAGAACCCCCAAGGCCUA